RNAcentral lists this ribosomal RNA (253 nucleotides) under uncultured bacterium. RNAcentral's name for it is "partial 16S ribosomal RNA". It matches the Rfam family "Bacterial small subunit ribosomal RNA", at positions 524 to 776 of the family's 1533-position model. The record is from RNAcentral.
UACGUAGGGUGCAAGCGUUGUCCGGAAUUAUUGGGCGUAAAGAGCUCGUAGGCGGUUUGUCGCGUCUGCUGUGAAAAUCCAGGGCUUAACCCUGGACCUGCAGUGGGUACGGGCAGACUGGAGUGCGGUAGGGGAGAUCGGAAUUCCUGGUGUAGCGGUGAAAUGCGUAGAUAUCGAGAGGAACACCUGCGGCGAAGGCGGGUUGCUGGGCCGACACUGACGCUGAUGCGCGAAAGCCAGGGGAGCGAACGGG